RNAcentral lists this transfer RNA (71 nucleotides) under Planctomycetota bacterium. RNAcentral's name for it is "tRNA-Trp". It matches the Rfam family "tRNA". Rfam says of the family: Transfer RNA (tRNA) molecules are approximately 80 nucleotides in length. Their secondary structure includes four short double-helical elements and three loops (D, anti-codon, and T loops). Lineage: Bacteria; Pseudomonadati; Planctomycetota. RNAcentral also lists the same sequence under 1 other name. The record is from RNAcentral.
AGUCCCGUAGUUCAAUGGCAGAACACCGCGCUCCAAACGCGGAGAUGGUCGUUCGACCCGACCCGGGGCUG